AUUGAACGCUGGCGGCAGGCCUAACACAUGCGAGUCGAACGGUAACAGGAAGCAGCUUGCUGCUUCGCUGACGAGUGGCGGACGGGUGAGUAAUGUCUGGGAAGCUGCCUGAUGGAGGGGGAUAACUACUGGAAACGGUAGCUAAUACCGCAUAAUGUCGCAAGACCAAAGAGGGGGACCUUCGGGCCUCUUGCCAUCGGAUGUGCCCAGAUGGGAUUAGCUUGUUGGUGGGGUAACGGCUCACCAAGGCGACGAUCCCUAGCUGGUCUGAGAGGAUGACCAGCCACACUGGGACUGAGACACGGUCCAGACUCCUACGGGAGGCAGCAGUGGGGAAUAUUGCACAAUGGGCGCAAGCCUGAUGCAGCCAUGCCGCGUGUAUGAAGAAGGCCUUCGGGUUGUAAAGUACUUUCAGCGGGGAGGAAGGGAGUAAAGUUAGUACCUUUGCUCAUUGACGUUACCCGCAGAAGAAGCACCGGCUAACUCCGUG
This 490-nucleotide ribosomal RNA is filed under the name uncultured bacterium. RNAcentral describes it as "partial 16S ribosomal RNA". It matches the Rfam family "Bacterial small subunit ribosomal RNA", at positions 30 to 507 of the family's 1533-position model. The record is from RNAcentral.